AGGUGGUGCAUGGUUGUCGUCAGCUCGUGUCGUGAGAUGUUGGGUUAAGUCCCGCAAACGAGCGCAACCCCUAUUGUUAGUUGCCAUCAUUCAAUUGGGCACUCUAGCGAGACUGCCGGUAAUAAACCGGAGGAAGGUGGGAUGACGUCAAAUCAUCAUGCCCCUUAUGACCUGGGCUACACACGUGCUACAAUGGUUGGUACAACGAGUUGCGAGUCGGUGACGGCGAGCUAAUCUCUUAAAGCCAAUCUCAGUUCGGAUUGUAGGCUGCAACUCGCCUACAUGAAGUCGGAAUCGCUAGUAAUCGCGGAUCAGCACGCCGCGGUCGAAUACGUUCCCGGGCCUU
RNAcentral lists this ribosomal RNA (346 nucleotides) under uncultured Streptococcus sp. Its description in RNAcentral is "bacterial SSU rRNA". It matches the Rfam family "Bacterial small subunit ribosomal RNA", at positions 1036 to 1382 of the family's 1533-position model. Lineage: Bacteria; Bacillati; Bacillota; Bacilli; Lactobacillales; Streptococcaceae. The record is from RNAcentral.